UUUGACACGACAUUGCUCACAUUGCUUCCAGUGUAAUUUAUAGCUUAUUGGUUAAGCGACCACAUC
This 66-nucleotide non-coding RNA is filed under the name Vibrio mytili. The record is from RNAcentral. Lineage: Bacteria; Pseudomonadati; Pseudomonadota; Gammaproteobacteria; Vibrionales; Vibrionaceae.